RNAcentral lists this ribosomal RNA (253 nucleotides) under uncultured bacterium. RNAcentral's name for it is "partial 16S ribosomal RNA". It matches the Rfam family "Bacterial small subunit ribosomal RNA", at positions 524 to 776 of the family's 1533-position model. The record is from RNAcentral.
UACGAAGGGGGCUAGCGUUGCUCGGAAUCACUGGGCGUAAAGCGCACGUAGGCGGCUUCUUAAGUCAGGGGUGAAAGCCCGGGGCUCAACCCCGGAACUGCCUUUAAGACUGCAUCGCUUGAAUCCGGGAGAGGUGAGUGGAAUUCCGAGUGUAGAGGUGAAAUUCGUAGAUAUUCGGAAGAACACCAGUGGCGAAGGCGGCUCACUGGACCGGUAUUGACGCUGAUGUGCGAAAGCGUGGGGAGCAAACAGG